UGGGGAAUUUUGGACAAUGGGCGCAAGCCUGAUCCAGCCAUGCCGCGUGCGGGAAGAAGGCCUUCGGGUCGUAAACCGCUCUUGUCAGGGAAGAAAUCCUUUGAGCUAAUACCUCGGGGGGAUGACGGUACCUGAAGAAUAAGCACCGGCUAACUACGUGCCAGCAGCCGCGGUAAUACGAAGGGUGCAAACGUUGCUCGGAAUUACUGGGCGUAAAGCGUGCGCAGGCGGUUAUGUAAGACAGAUGUGAAAUCCCCGGGCUCAACCUGGGACCUGCAUUUGUGACUGUAUAGCUAGAGUACGGUAGAGGGGGAUGGAAUUCCGCGUGUAGCAGUGAAAUGCGUAGAUAUGCGGAGGAACACCGAUGGCGAAGGCAAUCCCCUGGACCUGUACUGACGCUCAUGCACGAAAGCGUGGGGAGCAAACA
This 427-nucleotide ribosomal RNA is filed under the name uncultured bacterium. RNAcentral describes it as "bacterial SSU rRNA". It matches the Rfam family "Bacterial small subunit ribosomal RNA", at positions 355 to 774 of the family's 1533-position model. The record is from RNAcentral.